RNAcentral lists this ribosomal RNA (1353 nucleotides) under uncultured bacterium. RNAcentral describes it as "bacterial SSU rRNA". It matches the Rfam family "Bacterial small subunit ribosomal RNA", at positions 28 to 1381 of the family's 1533-position model. The record is from RNAcentral.
GAUGAACGCUAGCUACAGGCUUAACACAUGCAAGUCGAGGGGCAGCAGGAUCUAGCAAUAGAUUGCUGGCGACCGGCGCACGGGUGAGUAACACGUAUCCAACCUGCCGAUAACUCGGGGAUAGCCUUUCGAAAGAAAGAUUAAUACCCGAUGGUAUAAUCAGACCGCAUGGUUUGAUUAUUAAAGAAUUUCGGUUAUCGAUGGGGAUGCGUUCCAUUAGGCAGUUGGUGAGGUAACGGCUCACCAAACCUUCGAUGGAUAGGGGUUCUGAGAGGAAGGUCCCCCACAUUGGAACUGAGACACGGUCCAAACUCCUACGGGAGGCAGCAGUGAGGAAUAUUGGUCAAUGGACGCGAGUCUGAACCAGCCAAGUAGCGUGAAGGAUGACUGCCCUAUGGGUUGUAAACUUCUUUUAUAUGGGAAUAAAGUUUUCCACGUGUGGAAUUUUGUAUGUACCAUAUGAAUAAGGAUCGGCUAACUCCGUGCCAGCAGCCGCGGUAAUACGGAGGAUCCGAGCGUUAUCCGGAUUUAUUGGGUUUAAAGGGAGCGUAGGUGGACAGUUAAGUCAGUUGUGAAAGUUUGCGGCUCAACCGUAAAAUUGCAGUUGAUACUGGCUGUCUUGAGUACAGUAGAGGUGGGCGGAAUUCGUGGUGUAGCGGUGAAAUGCUUAGAUAUCACGAAGAACUCCGAUUGCGAAGGCAGCUCACUGGACUGCAACUGACACUGAUGCUCGAAAGUGUGGGUAUCAAACAGGAUUAGAUACCCUGGUAGUCCACACAGUAAACGAUGAAUACUCGCUGUUUGCGAUAUACAGUAAGCGGCCAAGCGAAAGCAUUAAGUAUUCCACCUGGGGAGUACGCCGGCAACGGUGAAACUCAAAGGAAUUGACGGGGGCCCGCACAAGCGGAGGAACAUGUGGUUUAAUUCGAUGAUACGCGAGGAACCUUACCCGGGCUUAAAUUGCAUUUGAAUAAUCUGGAAACAGGUUAGCCGCAAGGCAAAUGUGAAGGUGCUGCAUGGUUGUCGUCAGCUCGUGCCGUGAGGUGUCGGCUUAAGUGCCAUAACGAGCGCAACCCUUAUCUUUAGUUACUAACAGGUCAUGCUGAGGACUCUAGAGAGACUGCCGUCGUAAGAUGUGAGGAAGGUGGGGAUGACGUCAAAUCAGCACGGCCCUUACGUCCGGGGCUACACACGUGUUACAAUGGGGGGUACAGAAGGCAGCUACCUGGUGACAGGAUGCUAAUCCCAAAAGCCUCUCUCAGUUCGGAUCGAAGUCUGCAACCCGACUUCGUGAAGCUGGAUUCGCUAGUAAUCGCGCAUCAGCCAUGGCGCGGUGAAUACGUUCCCGGGCCU